UACCCUUUGUCUUUCCCUCCUCCUUCCCCUCUCCACUCCCAAUGUCCAUGUCAACCCUUCAAAAAGCUCUUGGCGAGUCCCAACUCCAAAAUAAUCACAAUCUCUACCCUCCAAGCAAGGAUUGCCAGGUCCGUUGGAUCUCCCCAAACGCCUCUCUCUCUCUCUCUCUCUUUCUCUCUCUGCAUAUGAGGUUUUUAUUUUGCUGCAAGCUUAUUAUUUUCUUGUUAUUUUUCCUUGAUUGUAGGUUUUUCUAUUAUCUUUGGCGUUUCAAGAAUAUUUUAUUUAUCAUGGGCGAGUUUAAUAAAUAUCGACAAAUUUUAGGCCAAAUUGCACUGCAAUUCUUCUGAUUGCCGAAAUUUGUUGCUUUCUUGACUAAUAGUUGGGUAAAAUACUUGGAAUCAUCCAAAAUUACUUUAAUGAAGUGGAAGG
This 429-nucleotide long non-coding RNA is filed under the name Elaeis guineensis (African oil palm). RNAcentral's name for it is "long non-coding RNA (EGUI_LNC072869)". Lineage: Eukaryota; Viridiplantae; Streptophyta; Magnoliopsida; Arecales; Arecaceae. The record is from RNAcentral.